UAGACGAACGCUGGCGGCGUGCUUAACACAUGCAAGUCGAGCGGUAAGGCCCUUCGGGGUACACGAGCGGCGAACGGGUGAGUAACACGUGGGUGAUCUGCCUUGCACUCUGGGAUAAGCCUGGGAAACUGGGUCUAAUACCGGAUAUGACCUUUGGUUGCAUGAUCAGGGGUGGAAAGAUUUAUCGGUGCAAGAUGAGCCCGCGGCCUAUCAGCUUGUUGGUGGGGUAAUGGCCUACCAAGGCGACGACGGGUAGCCGGCCUGAGAGGGCGACCGGCCACACUGGGACUGAGACACGGCCCAGACUCCUACGGGAGGCAGCAGUGGGGAAUAUUGCACAAUGGGCGGAAGCCUGAUGCAGCGACGCCGCGUGAGGGAUGACGGCCUUCGGGUUGUAAACCUCUUUCGACUCCGACGAAGCGAAAGUGACGGUAGGAGUAUAAGAAGCACCGGCCAACUACGUGCCAGCAGCCGCGGUAAUACGUAGGGUGCGAGCGUUGUCCGGAAUUACUGGGCGUAAAGAGCUUGUAGGCGGCUUGUCGCGUCGAUCGUGAAAACUCGGGGCUCAACCCCGAGCUUGCGGUCGAUACGGGCAGGCUUGAGUACUUCAGGGGAGACUGGAAUUCCUGGUGUAGCGGUGAAAUGCGCUAGAUAUCGAGGAGGAACACCGGUGGCGAAGGCGGGUCUCUGGGUC
This 694-nucleotide ribosomal RNA is filed under the name Nocardia rhamnosiphila. RNAcentral's name for it is "bacterial SSU rRNA". It matches the Rfam family "Bacterial small subunit ribosomal RNA", at positions 26 to 735 of the family's 1533-position model. The record is from RNAcentral. Lineage: Bacteria; Bacillati; Actinomycetota; Actinomycetes; Mycobacteriales; Nocardiaceae.